GAAAAUUUCAAUUCCGAAUGGUACUUUUGUUUUUGUAUAAAUAAGUGUGAUUAUCUGAAGAGAGGCAAGCAGAACUUUGGCCUCUCCUUCCUCCUUUGUAAUAUAUACCUGUAAGUUUUUAUCUGUAUACUAACACUUAAUUUCAUCGUAUUUAAAAUAUGGUAGCUUAGAUAUUUGAAUUCAUUACUUACUUAAUAAAAUUUUACUAUGACAAUCCAAUAAAUUUCUAUAACUAAAUGAUCAUCCUUAUGUUCGAAACUUUACUUCACUUAGAAGCUAAUGACAAACUUAUCAUGUUAUUUAGCAGGACUCAAUCUGUGCACGAUCUUCCUGCUUUAUAUGCAUAAGAUCUGUGCUUAUUUGUGUGUUGAUUUAUGGAUGACAGGAGUGCAAACAGUGGAAAGAUAUGAAGAAAUAUCUCGUGGAUGUAAAGGGAAGUACGGAAGCACAGAAACCGAUGGUAUUAAUCUACAAAAGAGCCGGAAGGCAUGCAGAAAUUCUGACGCAGACCAAUAAACUGAAUAACAAAGAAACCAAUGAAAUGGAAAAUAAGGGUAUUAACCCAAUCUAUCCUCGAGAACUAGUUUAUGGUGCUCCUCAUUUGGUCAGUAAGGAUCCUGAUUCCUGCUCUAUUAUGUAAAAAUCGAUGGCAUGUUUGGCGUGAUGGAUUGUAUAUAUUGUAGAUGGUAUAAAUAAGAAAAACAAGUUAAAAUCACAAGUGUGUCGAACAUGUACUUGUAGGAUCAUGGUUAAGUGUCUGCGCUUUAGUUUUUCAUUUGUAUCCUCUGUGACUGUUAUAAAUAUUAAAAGCUUAUAAUUACCUUUUAAUUUAUAGCAACACUGGCGAAUUUUAUUC
Molecule: long non-coding RNA, 856 nt
Filed under: Olea europaea subsp. europaea
Lineage: Eukaryota; Viridiplantae; Streptophyta; Magnoliopsida; Lamiales; Oleaceae
Source: RNAcentral